RNAcentral lists this ribosomal RNA (406 nucleotides) under uncultured bacterium. RNAcentral describes it as "partial 16S ribosomal RNA". It matches the Rfam family "Bacterial small subunit ribosomal RNA", at positions 30 to 526 of the family's 1533-position model. The record is from RNAcentral.
AUUGAACGCUGGCGGCAGGCCUAACACAUGCAAGUCGAACGAGUGGCGGACGGGUGAGUAAUGCUUGGGAAACUGCCUGAUGGAGGGGGAUAACUACUGGAAACGGUCGCUAAUACCGCAUACCAUCAGAUGUGCCCAGGUGGGAUUAGGUUGUUGGUGGGGUAAUGGCUGACCAAGCCUAUGAUCCCUAGCUGGUCUGAGAGGAUGACCAGACACACUGGAACUGAGACACGGUCCGGACUCCUACGGGAGGCAGCAGUGGGGAAUAUUGCACAAUGGGGGCAAGCCUGAUGCAGCCAUGCCGCGUGAAUGAAGAAGGCCUUCGGGUUGUAAAGUACUUUCAGCGAGGAGGCGUUAACCGCAGAAGAAGCACCGGCUAACUCCGUGCCAGCAGCCGCGGUAAUUC